AUGUUCAAAUUAGCUGCAUAUAUACUAAAAUUGGAAUGAUACAGAGAAAGUUAGCAUGGCCACUGCACAAAGAUAACACUCAAAUUUAUGAAUCUAUCCAUAUUUUC
Molecule: small nuclear RNA, 107 nt
Filed under: Chinchilla lanigera (long-tailed chinchilla)
Lineage: Eukaryota; Metazoa; Chordata; Mammalia; Rodentia; Chinchillidae
Source: RNAcentral